Long non-coding RNA from Agrilus planipennis (emerald ash borer), 321 nucleotides. RefSeq lists it as uncharacterized. The record is from RefSeq and is a predicted model, not a curated record. The transcript is spliced from 3 exons. Lineage: Eukaryota; Metazoa; Arthropoda; Insecta; Coleoptera; Buprestidae.
UACGAUAAAAUUUCAAUAAUGCGUAUUCCGGUGUCGCGUUUUCGCGAGUGUUUAUGAUCGGAGUGCAUUCUGCAGUUUUGAUGUUGCUGUUUAAGUACCUGUAAAAACACUUUAGUCGUAGAUGUUUCAUUCCACCGGAUCUUAGGGUAAAGCCGAUCUUCCUAGGAAAUAGAUUUCUGUGUGUCAUGGGUAAGACCUAGAUUAGAUUACUAUUCACAAAUAGUUACGAAUGUAGGAUAUACCACUGUUAAGGUAAUGCGAAGCUUAGCUAAGUGAGAGAGUGGAGGAGCAUAUCCGAACAGUCUUAGGACUAAAAUAAUU